RNAcentral lists this ribosomal RNA (254 nucleotides) under uncultured bacterium. Its description in RNAcentral is "partial 16S ribosomal RNA". It matches the Rfam family "Bacterial small subunit ribosomal RNA", at positions 524 to 777 of the family's 1533-position model. The record is from RNAcentral.
UACGAAGGGGGCUAGCGUUGCUCGGAAUCACUGGGCGUAAAGCGUGCGCAGGCGGUUGUGCAAGACAGAUGUGAAAUCCCCGGGCUCAACCUGGGAAUUGCAUUUGUGACUGCACGGCUAGAGUGUGUCAGAGGGGGGUAGAAUUCCACGUGUAGCAGUGAAAUGCGUAGAUAUGUGGAGGAACACCGGUGGCGAAGGCGGCUAACUGGUCCGGUUCUGACGCUGAGGCGCGAAAGCGUGGGGAGCAAACAGGG